RNAcentral lists this ribosomal RNA (494 nucleotides) under uncultured bacterium. RNAcentral describes it as "partial 16S ribosomal RNA". It matches the Rfam family "Bacterial small subunit ribosomal RNA", at positions 899 to 1397 of the family's 1533-position model. The record is from RNAcentral.
ACUCAAAUGAAUUGACGGGGAGGCACACAACCAGUGGAACAUGUGGUUCAAUUCGAUACGAACCGAAGAACCUCACCAAGGCUUGACAUGCUAGCGUUCUAUUUCGAUGAAAGUCGAGAAAGUCCGCAAGGAGGCUAGCACAGGUGCUGCAUGGCUGUCGUCAGUUCGUUCCGUGAGGAGUGCCCUUAAGUGGGACAACGAACGCAACCCCUAUCUCGCGUUAGAUAUGUCGCGAGAGACUGCCCCGACUUUGUCGGGGAGGAAGGAGGGGCAGACGUCAAGUCAGCAUGGUCCUUAUGCCUUGGGCUACACACAUGUUACAAUGAAGAGUAACAAUGAGCAUUGCCAACUCGUAAGAGUGAGCUAAUCUCAUAAAUCUUUUCUCAGUAGGGAUUGAGGUCUGAAACUCGACCUCAUGAACAUGGAAUUGGUAGUAAUCGCGGGUCAGCUACACCGCGGUGAAUACGUUCUUGCCUCUUGCACACACCGCCCGU